UACGAAGGGGGCUAGCGUUGCUCGGAAUUACUGGGCGUAAAGGGAGCGUAGGCGGGUCGUCAAGUUGGGGGUGAAAGCCCAGGGCUCAACCUUGGAACUGCCUUCAAAACUGACGAUCUAGAGUAUGGAAGAGGUAAGUGGAACUCCGAGUGUAGAGGUGAAAUUCGUAGAUAUUCGGAAGAACACCAGUGGCGAAGGCGACUUACUGGUCCAUGACUGACGCUGAGGCUCGAAAGCGUGGGGAGCAAACAGG
This 253-nucleotide ribosomal RNA is filed under the name uncultured bacterium. Its description in RNAcentral is "partial 16S ribosomal RNA". It matches the Rfam family "Bacterial small subunit ribosomal RNA", at positions 524 to 776 of the family's 1533-position model. RNAcentral also lists the same sequence under 1 other name. The record is from RNAcentral.